AAGCUCGUAGUUGAAUUUCGGGGUUCUACCGUUGGUCGGGCUAACCAGUCUGUACUAGCGUGUAGAAUUCCUACCUUCUGGGGAACCAUCAUGUUAUUAAUUUAGCGUGGUGGGAAACCAGGACCUUUACCUUGAAAAAAUUAGAGUGUUCAAAGCAGGCUUACGUCUGAAUACAUUAGCAUGGAAUAAUAAAAUAGGACGGUGGUCCCGUUUUGUUGGUUUCUGGAUCACCGUAAUGAUUAAUAGGGAUAGUUGGG
Molecule: ribosomal RNA, 257 nt
Filed under: uncultured Scutellospora
Lineage: Eukaryota; Fungi; Glomeromycota; Glomeromycetes; Diversisporales; Gigasporaceae
Description: partial 18S ribosomal RNA
Rfam family: Eukaryotic small subunit ribosomal RNA
Source: RNAcentral